This 426-nucleotide ribosomal RNA is filed under the name uncultured bacterium. RNAcentral describes it as "partial 16S ribosomal RNA". It matches the Rfam family "Bacterial small subunit ribosomal RNA", at positions 354 to 796 of the family's 1533-position model. The record is from RNAcentral.
GUGAGGAAUUUUCCGCAAUGGGCGAAAGCCUGACGGAGCAAUGCCGCGUGAAGGAUGAAGGCCUAUGGGUUGUAAACUUCCUUUCUCAGAAAAGAAUUAUGACGGUAUCUGAGGAAUAAGCAUCGGCUAACUCUGUGCCAGCAGCCGCGGUAAGACAGAGGAUGCAAGCGUUAUCCGGAAUGAUUGGGCGUAAAGCGUCUGUAGGUUGUUUAGAAAGUAUUCUGUCAAAGAUUAGGGCUUAACCCUAGAUAGGCAGAAUAAACUUUUAAGCUAGAGUUUGGUAGAGGCAGAGGGAAUUCCCGGUGGAGCGGUGAAAUGCGUAGAUAUCGGGAGGAACACCAAAGGCGAAGGCACUCUGCUGGGCCAAUACUAACACUGAGAGACGAAAGCGAGGGGAGCAAAUGGGAUUAGAAACCCUUGUAGUCC